AGGACGAACGCUGGCGGCGUGCUUAACACAUGCAAGUCGAGCGGAAAGGCCCUUCGGGGUACUCGAGCGGCGAACGGGUGAGUAGCACGUGAGUAAUCUGCCCCUAGCUCUGGGAUAGCUCCGGGAAAACCGGGAUUAAUACCGGAUACGACCACUUUAGACAUCUGUUGUGGUGGAAAGAAUUUUGGCUAGGGAUGAGCUCGCGGCCUAUCAGCUUGUUGGUGGGGUAACGGCCUACCAAGGCGACGACGGGUA
RNAcentral lists this ribosomal RNA (255 nucleotides) under uncultured bacterium. Its description in RNAcentral is "partial small subunit ribosomal RNA". It matches the Rfam family "Bacterial small subunit ribosomal RNA", at positions 26 to 285 of the family's 1533-position model. The record is from RNAcentral.